RNAcentral lists this ribosomal RNA (445 nucleotides) under uncultured bacterium. Its description in RNAcentral is "partial 16S ribosomal RNA". It matches the Rfam family "Bacterial small subunit ribosomal RNA", at positions 350 to 787 of the family's 1533-position model. The record is from RNAcentral.
AGCAGGGGGGAAUAUUUGAAAAUUGGGGGGAAGCCUGUCCGUACUAGGGGGGAGGGUGGGAAAGGUUUUUGGAUUGUAAGACACUUUAAGUUGGGGGGAAAGCGCAUUAACUNAUUGGUUUAGUGCUUUCCCGUUCCCCACAAGAAUAAGUACCGGUUAACUCUCUGUCAUCACCCGCGAUAAUACGGAGGGAGCAAGCGUUAAUCGGAAUUACUAGAUUUAAACCGCGCGUAGUUCCUUAGGUAUGUGGGAUGGGAAAUCCCCGGGCUCAACCUGGAAAAUACAUUCAAAACUGACUGAGGAGAGUAUUGUAGGGGGUGCUGGAAUUUCCUGUGUAGCGGUGAAAUGCGUAGAUAUAUGAAGGAACACCAGUGGCGAAGGUGCCCACCUGUAUUAAUAAGGACGUGAGGUGUAAAAGCUGGGGAGCAAACAGGAUUAGAUCCCC